Molecule: non-coding RNA, 665 nt
Organism: Cherax quadricarinatus
Lineage: Eukaryota; Metazoa; Arthropoda; Malacostraca; Decapoda; Parastacidae
Source: RefSeq, a predicted model, not a curated record
CUUGGGGGGGCCAGACGCACUCUCUAACACCUGCUGUGUCAGCCUGGGUGAGACACUUCAUCUCUGCUGUGUAGAUACACUUGACUCCCCCACCAGGCUCUCUCACACAUCUUAACCACUGGAAUUUUACAAUGGUCCCCGUUUCUGAAGUGGUCCUUGAUCAGGUCCCCGUCUCUGAAGUGGUCCUUGAUCAGGUCCCCGUCUCUGAAGUGGUCCUUGAUCAGGUCCCCGUCUCUGAAGUGGUUCUUGAUCAGGUCCCCGUUUCUGAAGUGGUCCUUGAUCCAGGUCCCCGUCUGUGAGGUGGUCCUUGGCUCAGGUCCCCGUCUGUGAGGUGGUCCUCGAUCCAGGUCCCCGUCUGUGAGGUGGUCUCUGACUCAGGUCCCCGUGUGCGACGUGUAGAGUGGUCCCUGACCUGCAAGAUGCCGCCAGCGUCCUGCUGGAUACUGGGUCUCCUGGCUACCCUCCUGGCGUCAGCACUGGCUGACGCCAACACGUGCCCUCCAGAGUGCACGUGCUCUGGUCUGACUGUCAGCUGUGGGCACCGUGGCUUAACACGUGUUCCGCGGCACCUGCCUCAUGACGCGCAGCGCAUAGAUCUGGAGGGUAACAACCUGACGGUGAUACACUCAGCUGACUUCGAACACCUAGCUGACCUCCGUAUUCUG